Molecule: ribosomal RNA, 206 nt
Filed under: uncultured bacterium
Lineage: Bacteria
Description: partial 16S ribosomal RNA
Rfam family: Bacterial small subunit ribosomal RNA
Source: RNAcentral
CGCGUAGGCGGGAUGGCAAGUCGGUCGUGAAAUCCCUCAGCUCAACUGAGGAACGUCGAUCGAAACUGCCGUUCUUGAGGAUUGCAGAGGAGACUGGAAUUCCCGGUGUAGCGGUGAAAUGUGUAGAGAUCGGGAGGAACACCGGUGGCGAAGGCGGGUCUCUGGGCAAUUCCUGACGCUGAGGCGCGAAAGCGUGGGAGCAAACG